RNAcentral lists this transfer RNA (93 nucleotides) under Actinoplanes lobatus. RNAcentral describes it as "tRNA-Ala". Lineage: Bacteria; Bacillati; Actinomycetota; Actinomycetes; Micromonosporales; Micromonosporaceae. The record is from RNAcentral.
GUCGGCGUCGGUACGGGCCAGCAGUGUCGCGCCGGUGGCGAUGGCGUGCCGGAAACCGGUGUCGGCCGCGGUUCCGGCACCGGGCGACGAUUC